Molecule: long non-coding RNA, 1068 nt
Organism: Mytilus trossulus (common blue mussel)
Lineage: Eukaryota; Metazoa; Mollusca; Bivalvia; Mytilida; Mytilidae
Exons: 3
Source: RefSeq, a predicted model, not a curated record
AUUAUAGAUGAAAAUGACGUAACACUAAAUUCCAUGAAGCUGGACAAUCAGGCAUAUGUAAUAUGUGAAACAGUCCUACGAGCACAAGAAGAAGAAAGAAAUUUUGAUAAAGUCACUUUAUCUGCGUUGAUGAGAUGAAACCUACAGCCGCAUUGGUGGACAUUCUACUACUAUCACUACGGGAUGUUUAGUGAUUUGGACUUUCUAGUCGAGUCACUUAUAUAAUGUCGACAUAGAGAUCUUGAUUUGGAAUUAUAUAAUCAUUCUGCAAAAAGACAAUGGCUGUUUUCACUGAUGAGUCUUAUGUAGACUAACCGCACCGAUGUAUCUAAUUAUAAGCCUGCAUGGUUCCUGUUUUCUGGUCUGUGCUUUAAAUAAGCAUAAAAGAAUUUUAAACCUAAAACAUAUAUAAAUUCCACAUAUUUUCAGGCAUUUCCGUAAAUUAUAAUGUUUCGGAUUCGGGCUAUGUUUAUAUACAAGAUUCAUCGCAAAAAUAAUCCGGCCUUGGUGGAUGAAUUUUAAUGUAGUUAGUUUUGUGUAAGAAGUAGUAAUUUGGAAGGAUUAAUAUGCAAAAAUGGAAGAAUCGAUAAGAAAAAAAUGUUAUGGCUAUUUUUUAUUUCAAAAUAACUAGAUAUUCCAAAUGUGCAUAAUAAGAGGUUUAAAAAAUGUGCAUAAUAAGAGUUUUAAAAAAUCUGCAAAAUAUGAAUGACUCGAAAGUCCUGCCUCAAGACUUGAACUUUUGUAAUGUCCAGAUAUCGCUUUUUUCUGAAUAGGGUUCAGGACCUUCUCGCUUCUUAUUUCCAUUACACAGCUCUUAGCAAUAUCAAUCCAUAUUUUUAGAAUGUGCAUUUGUUGCACUAUAUUGUUGGAAAACCAAAAAAUAUGUUGAACGUUAAUUUUUAAAGUUAUGUGACAAACAAAGUGUCCAGUGUUUAUUGGAAUAUACCUCUUUUAAAGUUUUAUGAACAAAGACAAAUACAUAAAAAUUACUUGUAAAAUAAUGACGAAUUGUAGAGCUUGAACAAAAGAGACAAAAACUAAUUGAUAUUAUGUUUUAAUGAGAAUCAA